Molecule: ribosomal RNA, 602 nt
Filed under: uncultured bacterium
Lineage: Bacteria
Description: bacterial SSU rRNA
Rfam family: Bacterial small subunit ribosomal RNA
Source: RNAcentral
ACGCUGGCGGCAGGCUUACACCUGCAGUCGAGCGGAGAUGAGGUGCUUGCACCUUACCUUAGCGGCGGACGGGUGAGUAAUGCUUAGGAAUCUGCCUAUUAGUGGGGGACAACGUUCCGAAAGGAAUGCUAAUACCGCAUACGUCCUACGGGAGAAAGCAGGGGAUCUUCGGACCUUGCGCUAAUAGAUGAGCCUAAGUCGGAUUAGCUAGUUGGUGGGGUAAAGGCCUACCAAGGCGACGAUCUGUAGCGGGUCUGAGAGGAUGAUCCGCCACACUGGGACUGAGACACGGCCCAGACUCCUACGGGAGGCAGCAGUGGGGAAUAUUGGACAAUGGGGGGAACCCUGAUCCAGCCAUGCCGCGUGUGUGAAGAAGGCCUUAUGGUUGUAAAGCACUUUAAGCGAGGAGGAGGCUACUGAGACUAAUACUCUUGGAUAGUGGACGUUACUCGCAGAAUAAGCACCGGCUAACUCUGUGCCAGCAGCCGCGGUAAUACAGAGGGUGCGAGCGUUAAUCGGAUUUACUGGGCGUAAAGCGUGCGUAGGCGGCUUUUUAAGUCGGAUGUGAAAUCCCCGAGCUUAACUUGGGAAUGCAUUCGAUA